RNAcentral lists this ribosomal RNA (446 nucleotides) under uncultured bacterium. RNAcentral describes it as "bacterial SSU rRNA". It matches the Rfam family "Bacterial small subunit ribosomal RNA", at positions 29 to 469 of the family's 1533-position model. The record is from RNAcentral.
AUUGAACGCUGGCGGAAUGCUUUACACAUGCAAGUCGAACGGCAGCACGGACUUCGGUCUGGUGGCGAGUGGCGAACGGGUGAGUAAUAUAUCGGAACGUGCCCAAUCGUGGGGGAUAACGCAGCGAAAGCUGUGCUAAUACCGCAUACGAUCUACGGAUGAAAGCGGGGGAUCGCAAGACCUCGCGCGAGAGGAGCGGCCGAUGCCGGAUUAGCUAGUUGGUGGGGUAAUGGCCUACCAAGGCGACGAUCCGUAGCUGGUCUGAGAGGACGACCAGCCACACUGGGACUGAGACACGGCCCAGACUCCUACGGGAGGCAGCAGUGGGGAAUUUUGGACAAUGGGCGCAAGCCUGAUCCAGCCAUGCCGCGUGUGUGAAGAAGGCCUUCGGGUUGUUAAAGACGACUUUCGGACGGAACGAAUACGCGCGCAUGAACAUUGCGCGU